UACGGGGGGGGCAAGCGUUGUUCGGAUUUACUGGGCGUAAAGGGCGCGUAGGCGGCCAGCACAAGUCAGUUGUGAAAUCUCCGAGCUUAACUCGGAAAGGUCAACUGAUACUGUGCGGCUAGAGUGCAGAAGGGGCAACUGGAAUUCUUGGUGUAGCGGUGAAAUGCGUAGAUAUCAAGAGGAACACCUGCGGCGAAGGCGGGUUGCUGGGCUGACACUGACGCUGAGGCGCGAAAGCUAGGGGAGCGAACGGG
Molecule: ribosomal RNA, 254 nt
Filed under: uncultured bacterium
Lineage: Bacteria
Description: partial 16S ribosomal RNA
Rfam family: Bacterial small subunit ribosomal RNA
Source: RNAcentral